RNAcentral lists this long non-coding RNA (219 nucleotides) under Olea europaea subsp. europaea. The record is from RNAcentral. Lineage: Eukaryota; Viridiplantae; Streptophyta; Magnoliopsida; Lamiales; Oleaceae.
GUAGCAUGCUUUUCCCCCAACUUUGGAUGAAUUCAAUUUAGAUGCAGGACUUAAUACUACUCUUAAUGAUAAGAUAUCGUUCACCUCCUCAGAUUUAAGUCCAUCUCUCGAUAGUUUUUCCAUGGAACUGUAACGACUUUUAUAACGACCUUCAAUAGAUAUAUUUUCUAUGUUUCUGCUAGAAAUGGAUCAGAUCAUAGGGAUUGAAGCAGCUGCUUC